AGCUGCACCGGGUCGACGCCGCGGGUCACCACCAGGUAGUCACGCAUCGCCACCCCGUGACGGUUCUC
This 68-nucleotide small RNA is filed under the name Gordonia bronchialis DSM 43247. RNAcentral's name for it is "ASdes TB sRNA". It matches the Rfam family "ASdes TB sRNA". The record is from Rfam by way of RNAcentral. Lineage: Bacteria; Bacillati; Actinomycetota; Actinomycetes; Mycobacteriales; Gordoniaceae.